RNAcentral lists this ribosomal RNA (541 nucleotides) under fungal endophyte. RNAcentral's name for it is "eukaryotic LSU rRNA". The stretch from base 177 to 330 matches the Rfam family "5.8S ribosomal RNA". Lineage: Eukaryota; Fungi. The record is from RNAcentral.
UUCCGAUGGGGUGACCUGCGGAAGGAUCAUUAUCGUAGGGCUUCGGCCCUGUCGAGAUAGAACCCUUGCCUUUUUGAGUACCUUUUCGUUUCCUCGGCAGGCUCGCCUGCCAAUGGGGACCCCAACAAACACUUUGCAGUACCUGUAAACAGUCUGAACAAACUUUUAAAAAUUAAAACUUUCAACAACGGAUCUCUUGGUUCUGGCAUCGAUGAAGAACGCAGCGAAAUGCGAUAAGUAGUGUGAAUUGCAGAAUUCAGUGAAUCAUCGAAUCUUUGAACGCACAUUGCGCCCUUUGGUAUUCCUUAGGGCAUGCCUGUUCGAGCGUCAUUGAAACCUUCAAGCUCAGCUUGGUGUUGGGUGACUGUCCGCUUGCGGACUCGCCUCAAAAUGAUUGGCGGCCGGUACUUUUGGCUUCGAGCGCAGCAGAAACGCGAACUCGAGGCCUGUGUGCUGGCUCCCAGAAGCUAUCUUCACAAUUUUGACCUCGGAUCAGGUAGGGAUACCCGCUGAACUUAAGCAUAUCAAAAGCCCGGAGGAA